UUCUCUACUAGGGUCGUAAAUUGACAGCACAGGUGAUUGAAUAAGUUUAUUUCGUAAGGUUUCGAAUGAUUGAAUGCAUUCAUUAGUAAACUCAAAUGGUACUGUUUCUUUUAAUAAGUUUGUUAGUGGUUUUGCAAUACUUGAAAAAGAUGGAACGAACCGCCGAAAAAAUGAAAAUAAGCCUAAGCACUGUUGAACUUGUUUCUUGCUACGAGGAAAGGGGUAGUUUUUAAUUGAUUUAAUAUGAUGUUCACUCGGACGUAUUCCUAAACAGUUUGCAUUGUAACCAAGGUAUUCUAAUUCCCUUUGGGCAAAUUUGCAUUUGUCCAGUCGUAACUCCAAACCAUUUUUGCGUAUCGCGUUUAACACUUGUCCGAUCAGUUCAAGAUGUUGGUCAAAAUCUUUUGAAGCAAUCAAAAUGUCGUCUAUAUACACUACCAAUUCCCCUCGUUCUAUAAAUUCUCUAAGUACCGAAUUAAUAAAGCGUUGGAACUCAGCCGGAGCAUUUUUCAAUCCGAAGGGCAUGCGGGUAUAUUCGUACUGCCCAUCAGGUGUAACGAACGCCGUAUAUUUAAUCGAUUCUUCAUCCAUAACUAACUGAUGAAAUCCGCUUUUGAGGUCUAGUAACGUAAAGUAUUGUUUAUGUCCCAAAUGUUCUAGGCAGGUGUCUAUAAGAGGCAAUGGAAAAUUAUCACGAACUGUUACUUUAUUUAAUGGUCUGUAAUCAACACAUUUUCUAACUUCGCCAUUUUUCUUUCGAACCAGGACUAAGGCAGACGCGUAUGCAAAUGACAACCGUCUUGGUUUGGUAGAAAUAGGAGUGUCAUCUUCACUUUGGUAUUUUGUAAGGUUUUUACCAAUAUCAAUGGGAUUUGUUUGAUCAACAACAUCUAUCAUACACAAAGAAGAAAAUGUAUCGGUAAACACAUCGAUCGACUCAUG
Molecule: long non-coding RNA, 942 nt
Organism: Anopheles coluzzii
Lineage: Eukaryota; Metazoa; Arthropoda; Insecta; Diptera; Culicidae
Exons: 3
Source: RefSeq, a predicted model, not a curated record